This is a long non-coding RNA of Acinonyx jubatus (cheetah), 3498 nucleotides long. RefSeq lists it as uncharacterized. The transcript is spliced from 8 exons. Lineage: Eukaryota; Metazoa; Chordata; Mammalia; Carnivora; Felidae. The record is from RefSeq and is a predicted model, not a curated record.
CAAGUGGACAUUUCCAAUUGGGGGAAUCUCUUCUCCCAGUGAUGAUUCAGAGGCCCAGGCUCCUGCCAUCUUGUGGCUCUUCCAUCUUUGACCCAGGGCUUCCAAAAAUGUUGACUUGGGGGAACAGGACUGGAGGAUCUUCAAGGAAAGGUUUUCUAGGAAGACCUAGAAAUAGCCACACCAGUUUCUCUUGUAGUUAUUUACCUAAAACUUCACUGGAGUGUUGAAGAGAAGGCAGACACACCCACCAAGGCCCAAGCAGAGUUUUUAAUGCAGCGAAGACUUACGACCUCAGCGUGCUUCGUCAGUAAGCUCCCGGAAGGACACAGAUGCUGUAUGUUGGUUCCACUGAAACUUCCAGAGCCCCUCUCCAGGAUCCUGACUGGCAGAGCCCCUUACAACGUGGUCCGCUUUCCCUGUUUCUACCUGCAGAUGAACAUUGCCACGGAUGGAGGCUGGAACUCUGCCAUGGUGGAGGAGCCAGAAGGCUGCGGCAAAUGAAAGCAUUUGCAUGGUCUCAAAAUGUCAGGAUGGUAUGGAUGUUCUCUCCAAGAUUGCCAGCUCCUCCAGUCAGAUAUUCAUCUUUACUCCCUUUAUGCCUCCCAGAGCAUGGCGCACGUAGAUGCUCAGUGAAUACCAACUGGUGGAAAGGUAAUAGGGACGUGUAUUACACGGACUGCAAAUACACGGACUGCCAUUGUCCCAUUUUCCCAGAGCGGGCUUGAGGUCAGACGAGAAGAGUUCAGCACAGAGGGGGUAAGUGCCUUGGCCAGAAUCAAUGCACCCGGCAAGAAGCAGAGCCAGGGUUCUAGGUGGGUCUGCCUCCAAACUUACACUCCUCAUCACAGCCUAACGAGGCUUUUACACUGGGUAGUGCAUGAUAGCUGAUCAGCUUCUAGCAAAGCUUGUGACGCAGAGAAAUUAUUCUGUUAAUAUUUAUUUAAUAUGUAGACCCAGGAUCUCUCUGAUAGAUACACAACACUUCAUUUUAUGGUUGGGUAUGCUGAGGGUCAGUGUGGCCAAGUGACUUCCAAAGGCCACAAAGCUAGUGAAGAAUGGAAUGAGGUCAGGAGACCAGGUCUCCUCAACUUCAAUCCAGAGCUGCCCCUUUUGCUUAGGACUGGAGGGCAGCUGACAACUGUAUUCUCAGUCGAGGUGGAAGCUUCUUUGGUUCCUGGCCUGUACUGGCUCUAAAUCCCAUUUUCAGCAACACACACUUUGGACACUUGAGAUUUAAGGUGCUGUCUCCACUUAAGAUCACAAAAAUGUGGUAAAUAGUGUUUUUGAUUUGUAACACUACCAGCAUUUCUGACAUUUGAGUGGCACUACAUAGUUCACAAAAUUGGUUUACAAAUAUUCUCAUGUAGUCCUUACCAUUUCCUGCACUGACACUAGACUUUAGCUUUUUUUUUUUUUUUUUUUUAAGAUUUUAUUUUCUUAGGUAAUCUCUACACCCAACAUGGGGCUCGAACUCAGAACGCUGAGAUCAACAGUCACAUGCUCCACCAACUGAGCCAGCCAGGCAGCCCUACCCCCCUGCCUUUUUUUUUUUUUUUAAGAUUUUAUUUAUCUUUAAAUUUUAUUCAUUUAUUUAUUUAUUUUUGACACAAGACUUCAAAAUUGGGUUGAUUCUUCUAGAACCUCACCCUUAUCAACAUCUAAUAUAAAAGGAAAUCCAAUGCUACUAAAUAGCUAUCAAGUAAUCUCACAGGUCUUUCCCCUUCCCACUCUAUCACAUUAUCUUUGGUUUGAUUUUACCUCCUUAGCGCUGACUUUGGUUUCCUUCUCUAUCUCACCCAAAAAUGCCUCUUUCUCUGUGCUUGGCACGUAAACCUCUACUCUCUUGCUGGGUUCUUAUUUAAUCCAUGCUAGGGUCUUGGAAGCUCACCUAUCACAAGAAUAAGGUCCCAGAUUCAGGUAGCAUCUGCCUCGAUGCGUCAGGUCUGUGCUUAAGGACCAGCUUGUGAAUAAGGGUUUCUGUGUUUCUCAAAUGAGGAAAUAGGCUCACACAGUCCAUGUAACUUGCUUAAGAGUAGAGCAGAGCCUGCUGGUUGUUCCUCAAAACUCAUCUCAUUAAUUUUUGCCAAUAUGACUUGAGAUUUUUAGCUGGCCACAUGGUCUAAAAUAAGACUACAGUUCUUAUAGUCACCUGACCAAGUUCUAACUACUGGGAUGUAAGCAGAAGGCAGAUACGGCGGCCUGGAGGACAUCUGUUAAGUACCUUCUGCUCCCUUUCUUCUUCAACGUCUCUUCCUGUGUGAUGGCUGCAAUGUGAACUGGAUGGAUGAAGCCCAAGAAGUUGUCUUAAGGUAUGAUGUGGAAGCCGCGUGUGAAAGACGGUGGAACAACGAAAUAUUAGACUUCACCCUACGAGACUGUAAACUUCUGGAUUCUGUGAUAUGACAGCCACAUCUUUCAUUUGCCAAGUUACUGUGUCACAGGAAAGUGGCAGUGCUGUGAUUUCUGCUGACUUCCUUCAGCAGACAUUCGGCAACAGGUUUUCUUCAGCUCUUAGCUACUGACUGUCCAUCUUCAGCCAAUGCACCAUAAUGAGCCCUGGAAGAUGCGUCCGUGGAUUUUCCACUUUAGUUUGAAAAGUUGCAACAAACAGUUGUUGGCUUAAAGGGCUUAUUGCACCUUGAUUUAAAAUAUUCCAUUUCUGUUUCCCCAACUCUGGAUGCUUGAUUUUAGAAUAACAUCUCAAUUUAACUGGCACCUUAAUACUAUUAAAAAAUGCUGCAUUGCUGGGGCGCCUGGGUGGCUCAGACGGUUGAGCGUCUGACUUCGGCCCAGGUCAUAAUCGCCCAGUUUGUGGGUUUGAGCCCCGCGUCGGACUCUGUGCUGACAGCUUGGAGCCUGGAGCCUGCUUCGGAUUCUGUGUCUCCCUUUCUCUCUGCCCCUCCCCUGCUCAUGCUCUGUCUCUCUCUGUCUCAAUAAAAAUAAAAACAUUAAAGAAAAUGUUGUAUUGUGUGAUAUGUAAUCAAGUAAAAUGUUUUUUUCCACAGUCACAUUUUUACUUACAGUUCUCUAUAUGCUUUCCUCAUAUUACAGUUUUCGGCAUAUCUUUUUCAGCAUACUGUUCAUAUAUUUAGAGGUAAAUGGUGCAGAUGGAACGUAAGAACAAAUCUUCCAAUCUCCCUUUUUAAGCCAAUGAUCUAUGCUAAAAUACAAGUGUAAAAAUAAAUACAGCAAAGUGUACUUAUUGCCUGUUGUUUUCAUGUUGGCACAAGGUCAUUUUGGAAUUUCAAACAAAUGAUUUUUGGACAAAAAUAGGUUACAAAGGUUAAAGCAGACAUUUCCAAAGUAAAGCUAAAACCACAGCAGAAGUACUAAAGAAUAAGCCUGAGUUAAUCUCAGAAAAUGUACACAUUUAUUUUCUAAAACUACAACAUUAGAAAAUUCUAGAAAUCACGAUAAUGCACACCGAUGCUGUUAGUCAUCAGAGGGAUGGUGUCAUCACAUAUUAUAAAGAAUCUCGCAAAGUCCACCGUGGACUCG